GGGUUGUGAGGUUAAGCGACUAAGCGUACACGGUGGAUGCCUAGGCAGUCAGAGGCGAUGAAGGGCGUGCUAAUCUGCGAAAAGCGUCGGUAAGGUGAUAUGAACCGUUAUAACCGACGAUACCCGAAUGGGGAAACCCAGUGCAAUUCGUUGCACUAUUGCAUGGUGAAUACAUAGCCAUGCAAGGCGAACCGGGGGAACUGAAACAUCUAAGUACCCCGAGGAAAAGAAAUCAACCGAGAUUCCCCCAGUAGCGGCGAGCGAACGGGGAGGAGCCCAGAACCUGAAUCAGCAUAUGUGUUAGUGGAAGCGUCUGGAAAGUCGCACGGUACAGGGUGAUAGUCCCGUACACAAAAAUGCAUAUGUUGUGAGUUCGAUGAGUAGGGCGGGACACGUGACAUCCUGUCUGAAUAUGGGGGGACCAUCCUCCAAGGCUAAAUACUCCUGACUGACCGAUAGUGAACCAGUACCGUGAGGGAAAGGCGAAAAGAACCCCGGCGAGGGGAGUGAAAUAGAACCUGAAACCGUGUACGUACAAGCAGUGGGAGCACCUUCGUGGUGUGACUGCGUACCUUUUGUAUAAUGGGUCAGCGACUUAUAUUUUGUAGCAAGGUUAACCGAAUAGGGGAGCCGUAGGGAAACCGAGUCUUAACUGGGCGAAUAGUUGCAAGGUAUAGACCCGAAACCCGGUGAUCUAGCCAUGGGCAGGUUGAAGGUUGGGUAACACUAACUGGAGGACCGAACCGACUAAUGUUGAAAAAUUAGCGGAUGACUUGUGGCUGGGGGUGAAAGGCCAAUCAAACCGGGAGAUAGCUGGUUCUCCCCGAAAGCUAUUUAGGUAGCGCCUCGUGAACUCAUCUUCGGGGGUAGAGCACUGUUUCGGCUAGGGGGUCAUCCCGACUUACCAAACCGAUGCAAACUCCGAAUACCGAAGAAUGUUAUCACGGGAGACACACGGCGGGUGCUAACGUCCGUCGUGAAGAGGGAAACAACCCAGACCGCCAGCUAAGGUCCCAAAGUCAUGGUUAAGUGGGAAACGAUGUGGGAAGGCAUAGACAGCCAGGAUGUUGGCUUAGAAGCAGCCAUCAUUUAAAGAAAGCGUAAUAGCUCACUGGUCGAGUCGGCCUGCGCGGAAGAUGUAACGGGGCUAAACCAUGCACCGAAGCUGCGGCAGCGACACUUAGGUGUUGUUGGGUAGGGGAGCGUUCUGUAAGCCGUUGAAGGUGACCUGUGAGGGUUGCUGGAGGUAUCAGAAGUGCGAAUGCUGACAUAAGUAACGAUAAUGCGGGUGAAAAACCCGCACGCCGGAAGACCAAGGGUUCCUGUCCAACGUUAAUCGGGGCAGGGUGAGUCGACCCCUAAGGCGAGGCUGAAAAGCGUAGUCGAUGGGAAACAGGUUAAUAUUCCUGUACUUGGUGUUACUGCGAAGGGGGGACGGAGAAGGCUAGGCUAGCCGGGCGACGGUUGUCCCGGUUUAAGCAUGUAGGCGGAGUGACUUGGUAAAUCCGGUUGCUUAUCAACGCUGAGGUGUGAUGACGAGCCACUACGGUGGUGAAGUAGUUGAUGCCAAGCUUCCAGGAAAAGCCUCUAAGCAUCAGGUAACAUUAAAUCGUACCCCAAACCGACACAGGUGGUCAGGUAGAGAAUACUCAGGCGCUUGAGAGAACUCGGGUGAAGGAACUAGGCAAAAUGGUGCCGUAACUUCGGGAGAAGGCACGCUGGCAUUAGGUAAAGAGACUUGCUCUCGGCGCCGAAGCCAGUCGCAGAUACCAGCUGGCUGCAACUGUUUAAUAAAAACACAGCACUGUGCAAACACGAAAGUGGACGUAUACGGUGUGACGCCUGCCCGGUGCUGGAAGGUUAAUUGAUGGGGUCAGCCGCAAGGCGAAGCUCUUGAUCGAAGCCCCAGUAAACGGCGGCCGUAACUAUAACGGUCCUAAGGUAGCGAAAUUCCUUGUCGGGUAAGUUCCGACCUGCACGAAUGGCGUAAUGAUGGCCAGGCUGUCUCCACCCGAGACUCAGUGAAAUUGAACUCGCUGUGAAGAUGCAGUGUACCCGCGGCAAGACGGAAAGACCCCGUGAACCUUUACUAUAGCUUGACACUGAACAUUGAGCCUUGAUGUGUAGGAUAGGUGGGAGGCAUCGAAGUGUGGACGCCAGUCUGCAUGGAGCCAACCUUGAAAUACCACCCUUUAAUGUUUGAUGUUCUAACUCGGCCCCGUGAUCCGGGGUGAGGACAGUGUCUGGUGGGUAGUUUGACUGGGGCGGUCUCCUCCCAAAGAGUAACGGAGGAGCACGAAGGUUAGCUAAUCACGGUCGGACAUCGUGAGGUUAGUGCAAAGGCAUAAGCUAGCUUGACUGCGAGAGUGACGGCUCGAGCAGGUACGAAAGUAGGUCUUAGUGAUCCGGUGGUUCUGAAUGGAAGGGCCAUCGCUCAACGGAUAAAAGGUACUCCGGGGAUAACAGGCUGAUACCGCCCAAGAGUUCAUAUCGACGGCGGUGUUUGGCACCUCGAUGUCGGCUCAUCACAUCCUGGGGCUGAAGUAGGUCCCAAGGGUAUGGCUGUUCGCCAUUUAAAGUGGUACGCGAGCUGGGUUUAGAACGUCGUGAGACAGUUCGGUCCCUAUCUGCCGUGGGCGUUGGAAGAUUGAGAGGGGCUGCUCCUAGUACGAGAGGACCGGAGUGGACGAAUCACUGGUGUUCGGGUUGUCAUGCCAAUGGCAUUGCCCGGUAGCUAAAUUCGGAAGAGAUAACCGCUGAAAGCAUCUAAGCGGGAAACUUGCCUCGAGAUGAGUCUUCCCUGGGGCUUUAAGCCCCCUGAAGGAACGUUAAAGACUAUGACGUUGAUAGGCUGGGUGUGUAAGUGCAGCGAUGCAUUGAGCUAACCAGUACUAAUGAUCCGUGAGGCUUAACCUUACAACACC
Molecule: ribosomal RNA, 2924 nt
Filed under: Yersinia enterocolitica
Lineage: Bacteria; Pseudomonadati; Pseudomonadota; Gammaproteobacteria; Enterobacterales; Yersiniaceae
Description: partial 23S ribosomal RNA
Rfam family: Bacterial large subunit ribosomal RNA
Source: RNAcentral